Molecule: transfer RNA, 77 nt
Filed under: Rhodonia placenta
Lineage: Eukaryota; Fungi; Basidiomycota; Agaricomycetes; Polyporales; Adustoporiaceae
Also listed under: 1 other name
Description: Postia placenta tRNA
Rfam family: tRNA
About the family: Transfer RNA (tRNA) molecules are approximately 80 nucleotides in length.
Source: Rfam by way of RNAcentral
GCCCGUUUAGCUCAGUGGUAGAGCGCGCCACUUGUAUGGUUAUGGUGAGGUCGGUUGUUCAAUCCAGCCAAUGGGCA